This 755-nucleotide ribosomal RNA is filed under the name uncultured bacterium. RNAcentral's name for it is "bacterial SSU rRNA". It matches the Rfam family "Bacterial small subunit ribosomal RNA", at positions 9 to 737 of the family's 1533-position model. The record is from RNAcentral.
GAGUUUGAUCCUGGCUCAGGACGAACGCUGGCGGCGUGCUUAACACAUGCAAGUCGAACGAGGACACGGAGCUUGCUCUGUGAGCCGAGUGGCGGACGGGUGCGUAACACGUGACCAAUCUGUCUUCAGGAGAGGGACAACCCGGGGAAACUUGGGCUAAUACCACAUGAUGUCACCGGAUCGCAUGGUCUGGUGACCAAAGGGGGGCCUCUGCUUGCAAGCUCUCGCCUGAAGGGGAGGUCGCGGCGUAUCAGCUAGUUGGUGAGGUAACGGCUCACCAAGGCUACGACGCGUAGCGGGUCUGAGAGGACGACCCGCCACAUUGGGACUGAGAUUCGGCCCAGACUCCUACGGGAGGCAGCAGUGGGGAAUAUUGCGCAAUGGUCGAAAGACUGACGCAGCGACGCCGCGUGUGGGAUGAAGCCUUUCGGGGUGUAAACCACUGUCAGGGGGGAAGAACCCCGGGUCUCCGAAUAGGUUUCCCGGCUGACGGUACCCCCAGAGGAAGCGCCGGCUAACUCCGUGCCAGCAGCCGCGGUAAGACGGAGGGCGCAAGCGUCGUUCGGAAUUACUGGGCGUAAAGCGCGUGCAGGCGGUUUCUUAAGUCUCCUGUGAAAUUCCGGAGCUCAACUCCGGAGAUGCAGGAGAGACUGGGAGACUAGAGAUCGGUAGAGGCUAGUGGAAUUCCUGGUGUAGCGGUGGAAUGCGUAGAUAUCAGGAGGAACACCGGUGGCGAAGGCGACUAGCUGGGCCGG